This 45-nucleotide non-coding RNA is filed under the name Schistosoma mansoni. The record is from RNAcentral. Lineage: Eukaryota; Metazoa; Platyhelminthes; Trematoda; Strigeidida; Schistosomatidae.
AUCCACCUGACGAGUCCAAGAUAAAACGAAAAGAGCGUCCUGGAU